CCUACGGGUGGCAGCAGUGGGGAAUAUUGCACAAUGGGGGAAACCCUGAUGCAGCGACGCCGCGUGAGUGAAGAAGUAUCUCGGUACGUAAAGCUCUAUCAGCAGGAAAGAAAAUGACGGUACCUGACUAAGAAGCUCUGGCGAAAUACGUGCCAGCAGCCGCGGUAAUACGUAGGGGGCAAGCGUUAUCCGGAUAUACUGGGUGGAAAGGGAGCGUAGACGGUGCUGCAAGUCCGGAGUGAAAGCCCAUGGCUUAAACAUGGUACUGCUCUGGAAACUGUAGAGCUUGAGUGCGAGAGGGGCAGACGGAAUUCCUAGUGUAGCGGUGGAAUGCGUAGAUAUUAGGAGGAACACCGGCGGCGAAGGCAGCCUGCUGGACCGUAACUGACGUUGAGGCUCGAAAGCGUGGGGAGCAAACAGGAUUAGAUACCCUUGUAGUC
RNAcentral lists this ribosomal RNA (440 nucleotides) under uncultured bacterium. RNAcentral's name for it is "partial 16S ribosomal RNA". It matches the Rfam family "Bacterial small subunit ribosomal RNA", at positions 338 to 795 of the family's 1533-position model. The record is from RNAcentral.